Lutra lutra (Eurasian river otter) is the source of this 299-nucleotide long non-coding RNA. RefSeq lists it as uncharacterized. NCBI's taxonomy places the organism in Eukaryota, Metazoa, Chordata, Mammalia, Carnivora, Mustelidae. The record is from RefSeq and is a predicted model, not a curated record. The transcript is spliced from 2 exons.
UAGAGCACAGGACUCAUGAUAUCGCAGUCAUGAGUUUGAGCCCCACCCUGGGUAUGGAGGCCACUUAAAAAGAACAAACAUACAUACAUGAAGGGCAGUAAGUCUAUUCAGGAUAAAGAAACUAAGCAAUAAUGCCUAUUUAAAAGGAAAAUGGGAGCUGGGGGAUAAGCAUGAUGAGGUCUGUUUUCAAAUACCAAGUUCUGUAGGUAUCUGACCCACAGGGUGGGAAAUAUUAAGUUACUGAAAUGAAAUACAGAAGAUUAAGUGUAAACAAUCAAAAUAGGUAAGUACAAGUGAAU